This is a non-coding RNA of Paramuricea clavata, 254 nucleotides long. The record is from the annotation of a GenBank genome assembly. NCBI's taxonomy places the organism in Eukaryota, Metazoa, Cnidaria, Anthozoa, Malacalcyonacea, Plexauridae.
CCUAAAUCACGUAAACACGGCUAUAGAUUAUGUAUUAUACAUUUCAGGUAUUAUGAUAACAGUUCAACAAUUACUUGGUAUUAGUAAUCUUCUAUUCAAGUCGAAAGAGUUCAGUUUGGUUAUUUAACAAAUUUAUGCUGGCUUAUUUGUUAUUAUCUAUAUUAAGCUUAUUACUAGAAAUUACUAUCGCAAGGAAAGUGCUGCCUCACCCCCAAGGGAUCAAAGGCAGCAUGCGCAAUUUGAUGAAUAAGAGG